Manis pentadactyla (Chinese pangolin) is the source of this 3137-nucleotide long non-coding RNA. RefSeq lists it as uncharacterized. The transcript has 3 exons. The record is from RefSeq and is a predicted model, not a curated record. Lineage: Eukaryota; Metazoa; Chordata; Mammalia; Pholidota; Manidae.
GUGGCCUGGGUUCCUGGACCCUUGAGGCGGGGAGGGCACCCAGCUGGGGCUGGACCCGGCUGGGGGUGGGUUCGCCCCGCGUCCCCUCGAGCUUUGCCCGCCCGGAGCCCCGCUGCUCCCGGCGGCCAGAACGGAGGGGUAGAGCAGCCCUCGGCGGCCCGGGGGGCAGGCGGCCGUGCCCGUCCCGGGGCUGCGCGAGGCACAGACCCCCGCCCGGCCGUCCGCAGGCAGGCCCGGUGGGGUGACAACUUUGCGCUUUCGUCCUCCAGCGCGCAGCCGUGGCUACUGUGUAGCAGGUUCCGGGCCGGGCCGGCCUGAGGCGGCCAGAGCCCAUCCGGAACCGACCCUGGACCCGGGGAGUUUGUCUCCAGCGUCUGCGGGGAUGUAGCGGCGGAGUUCCACGCACAGCAGUCCACCCAGCUUCAUGCCUGUGAAACUUCCUGUCAAAUCUCAAGCAGGGAAAUGAAGGGACCAAGCCCACAAGAAUGGCAUAAAGAUGAUUUUACACUGAGAACAUCUGGAACAAACAGCAGCUGCAGACAAAAGCCUUUCUUAAACUUCCCUUUGGUGAGUAAAAGAGGCCUGAGAAUGCAGCUGCCCUGAAGCCCUCUCUGCAUGGCCUUCUGUAAGGGAGGACCCUGACUAGGCAUCAGGACCGCCCGAGGAGUUGUGUAAAGACAUCCUAGCAGAACCUUCUGUGCUUCCCACUGAGGCUUUAAAGCUCCCUCCCCAACCCUUCAAGCUGGUAUAGAAAACCUCCCUGGCUAUGUAGAGAACUACUCCUUAUAGCAUGUUCCUGAAUACACACAAUGUAUAAUAAGCUUUUCUUCUAUUAAUCUGUCGGUUAAUUCACAGGCCCCCAGCCACUUGAACCUAAACUGGUAGAGGAAAAGUUUUCCUCCUAGUAACACUUUUCUAGACUUUUCCAGAUACAUCAGAGAGUGUGUGCAUUUGGAAACUGAUUUUGUUUGAAGGUGGAAGAAUCCAGUGUACAUGUGCCCAGGCUUUCUGGAAGUCCUUUUAAAUUUGUCUGAAACAAUAAACGUUGGGUAGUCAUCCUGUAUGUUCACUAACUGACUGAGAACUUUCUCUUUAUCUCCCCUAGGGAAAAUGCUAUAAACCAUUUAAGCUGGGAUGAUCUGCUCUGCUUUCCUGAUUUCCUGUAGGCAUUUAAUCCACAGUCUGAGUUGUUGUUCUCCCCAUUUUAUAGACGAACAGACUGAAAGCGUACAGAACUUGCUAAAAAGUCCACCAUUGCUGAAAACAAGAGCAAGAUGCAGAACAAUAUAUCUAAUUUGCUGCCACUCAUAAAGCAGAAGAAAUAAAAUAAUAAACACAUGCACACAUACAUGCAUCUCUACUUUUUACAUAUACAACUCAGAUAAGCCAGCAGCUAACAGAAGUGAUUACAUUAUAAGGGGGAUGGGCAGUGAGAUUCUGAUCCCCCUUUGAAAAGUUAAAUACAAACUGUGAACAUUAUAGCAAAAAGGCAACUUAUUCACGCAAAGAAAAUUAUUUCAAGUUACACACACACAAAAACCCCAGUAUUACAUCCUUAGGGGGUGGGUUUAUUUCAUAGUAAGACUGUCAAAAGAAGGUAAGAAACAAACAACAUUCCAGUAGUUCAGGACAUAACAAAAAGGCUCCUGCACAGAAGUCCUUCAUCUGUUCUUGUGUGUGUUAAGCAAAGUGUAGCUAAAUUGGCUUUGAAACUAGAGAAGCCCUUAAAAGAUAAGCAAGCAGCUUUCAGUAUUGGCUGUUUGGUAUAUGGAUCAUGAGGUAGAUGAGGGAUGCAGGCUGCUGUAUUAGAGCAGCAGAAGUAUUUAAUAAGUAAUUGGGAAAUGUUAAGAAAAGAAAUCUUGAUUCCAAACACAAUCUCAAUUUUCUUUUGUAAAAUGGAGAUAAAGAGUAAAGGGUGAGUAGGGUCAGUACUGCUUACUUAAUGGCCUUUUAGAGUAGAAGAACCAUUGAAAGAAUUUAUUCUUAAUGAAUCUCAUUUCAGGAGAAGGUUGAUAGCCUGUGGCCUUGGAUUCAGUGCUGAAAGGUUGCUUUAAAGAGUUUUGAGACAAACUAGGUUAUAUAUUCAUUUUCUGAUUUGUAUACCUGUUGUCUAACCUACUAGAAUAUAAGCUUCACAAGGACAGGCAUAUUUGUUUGAAUCACAAUGAAGAGGGUUGUGGUAAUGAUUAAAUAAUUCAUGUAAAGCCCUCACAGUUGACUAUGGGCAUUGCAUAACUAAAUGUAAGAUUGAGUUCACUUAUAGCCAAUAUGAGUAUCUAGCAGAUUUGUAUUUUGGCAUUGACUUGUCAAGUGUAAAUUUUCAAAAACUUUUGAAUUAGAGUUUUUAGACCAUUUUGGAAUUCUUGUCUUGGCUAACUUUGUUUCCCUUUUCAAGUGUUGGGGUACAUUAGAAACCUCAUACAUAUAUGCAAAUAUAUCCAUUAGCCCCUUAUUUCCCAAUGUCAGGUACUAACAGAAGAAAAUUUAUGAAAUGAGAAGACAGUCGUUGGAGUGUUAGAAAAUACCUAUUGGAAGGAUAAAGUCUUACUUUAUGAAAUAGCAAAUGAUUUUGAGAUGUGUUAAGCCACCCAGUAUUGGGUUAGGUGAUAAUAAAAGCUUUUCUACUUCCAUAUGUAAAGUUUGUAAGGGAUAAAAAGUCAUGGAAAAUAGUUUCAGAUUUACUAGUGAUGGAUAUAGACCUUUUUUAUGUUUGAAACUUAAAUUAUUUUGUAGGGAAAGUAUCUUCCCAUCAUUAUGCAACAGAUGGAGGACAAGACACAUUUGGUUGGCAAAAGAAUUUAUACUUUAUUAGCCAUCUCAAAAGCUCUACAAGAUGUUUUAGUAAUUCAUUGAAUUAUUUAUCACUGUUUACCAAAACUCAAGGAGAGAUACUAUAAAUCAAAGGCUGUGUAAUCAAUUCUGUUAGAAUUAAUUUUUUGAGUGAUGUUUGUUACAAUCAUGACUAAUCUGAACAUCUUAACCUACAAUUAGGAUUAGAUAGCUUUCCAAAAGACAUUGUUUUAAAGCAUUUUGUUUGCAAAUUGAUAGUUUUAGAAGUUGUGAUUUAAUAAAUGAAAAACAUAAAGUAUUGUUAUACAGGCAUCCUGCUUCUUAUUAAAGUUUAACUCACAAAAUUA